GGCACUACCGCAAGGAGGGCAGCCGACCACGGUAGGUCAGCGACUGGGGUG
This 51-nucleotide ribosomal RNA is filed under the name uncultured bacterium. Its description in RNAcentral is "partial 16S ribosomal RNA". The record is from RNAcentral.